AUGGCAAUAAUAGAAAUCUCUAUUUUUUUUUGCCACCACCUCCCCCCCCCCUGUUGUUUCCCUGUUUCUGUGUCAGAAGGGAAGGCUGGAAGAAAUUUAGGCAAAUUAAGCCCCACAGCACACUAUAAUUUUCUAUUUCUGAACCGAUUUGUGAGAGAAUGGGUAACUGAAAUUAGCAAAGGAUCACCCCACACAAAGAUGGCGCGUGCAGAAUUUGUGAAAGCGAAAAAGAAGACGAAGGAGAAGCAACAGAGGGGCGGAAUACUGCAGUGCUGGGGUGCAGCUGGAGUCCAGAAAUGAUUUUUUUCGAUGAAUUUAGGAUUUUGCCGCAGUAUACAUCUGCAGUCCCAGAAUCCUCCGGUAAGUUAAUCCUUCUUUCGAUGGGAAACGCCUUUAACCUUCUCGUGAAUGAAAUAUCUGCAACCAUUUUGAAAUUUUUAAUAGAGGAGGGUGUGUGUAUAUGUGUGUGUUUGUGGGGAGGGGGGCGGUUUAUGUCUCCAAAGCAUGAUUUUAUAGCAAUGCAGCGGUAUUUGUCUUAGUUCUUAGAAACAUUGAGAAACAUACCUUUGUGCUCUUUGAAUAUCAUGGAUGAUGUCUCCAUUACUUCUCCUUACACUUUCUAUCUAUGGUAGCAUUAGAAAGUACUUCCUUAGUAUGGCAAAGACUGUUGUGUCAAACUAGUGAAGGCCUGCAGAACACAUAACUCCAAGCACGAAAAGUGUGCCUGGCACAUCUGAAGCGGCCAUGAACAUAACUACCACGGCUGCUGCCACGCCACCACCAUGGCCAUCGCCUCCCACCACCUUCACUGCCCCUCCCUCGUUCCGCAGUGCACACCAGACACAAGCUUUCCACAGUGACUUUCUGCCGAAUUUGCCCAGUGGGUUCCUAGAUGACUUCUGUGUGCGAGAAUAGCCAACCAUGUAGUCUGACAUGAGGUAUUUACAACUACUUAGCCUGUUCAGCUGGAAAGAAAUCAAAAGAUAACACUGAACCCUGAGAUGAUGGAUUGCAAAUCAAAAGCCCCAAUCCAUAAAGAGCCCACUUGAUGAAUUGCUAAAUGAAAAGGCUGAUUCUAAUUUCUGUCCAGUCUUUGCAGGUUGUCUGAAAAGCAAAAUUUUUGAGCCAGCCUUCUUAGAGAGUUGGCGUUCAUUGUUUAUAAGCAUAUCAAUAUUAUUUCGUCUUACCUUUCUGCGGGGAGAGGAUUCUUCCCAAGGAGAUUCAGAUUGUCCAGAAGAGACCACACCCUCAUUUCACUGUUUUCUACUGUUUCUGUUUCUUUUCAAGGAGGGCUUAUUAACAAUCACAGUUAUACAUUCAUUUAGGGGUCCUCAUCAAAAGGAGCCAAGCAUCCAUUUCUUUCUCUCUAAAGGAAGCUCAUUGUUUUAGCGUUCAAUAAAUGUUUAAUUAGUGGAUCUGAUAGAUUUAAC
Molecule: long non-coding RNA, 1430 nt
Filed under: Bos indicus x Bos taurus (hybrid cattle)
Lineage: Eukaryota; Metazoa; Chordata; Mammalia; Artiodactyla; Bovidae
Description: lncRNA (ENSBIXG00005024790.1)
Source: RNAcentral